RNAcentral lists this ribosomal RNA (497 nucleotides) under uncultured bacterium. RNAcentral's name for it is "partial 16S ribosomal RNA". It matches the Rfam family "Bacterial small subunit ribosomal RNA", at positions 28 to 507 of the family's 1533-position model. The record is from RNAcentral.
GAUGAACGCUGGCGGCGUGCCUAAUACAUGCAAGUCGAGCGAACAGACGAGGAGCUUGCUCCUCUGACGUUAGCGGCGGACGGGUGAGUAACACGUGGAUAACCUACCUAUAAGACUGGGAUAACUUCGGGAAACCGGAGCUAAUACCGGAUAAUAUAUUGAACCGCAUGGUUCAAUAGUGAAAGACGGUUUUGCUGUCACUUAUAGAUGGAUCCGCGCCGCAUUAGCUAGUUGGUAAGGUAACGGCUUACCAAGGCAACGAUGCGUAGCCGACCUAAGAGGGUGAUCGGCCACACUGGAACGGAGACACGGUCCAGACUCCUACGGGAGGCAGCAGUAGGGAAUCGUCCGCAAUGGGCGAAAGCCUGACGGAGCAACGCCGCGUGAGUGAUGAAGGUCUUCGGAGCGUAAAACUCUGUUAUUAGGGAAGAACAAAUGUGUAAGUAACUAUGCACGUCUUGACGGUACCUAAUCAGAAAGCCACGGCUAACUACGUG